AGAGUUUGAUCCUGGCUCAGAACGAACGCUGGCGGCAGGCCUAACACAUGCAAGUCGAGCGCGCCUUCGGGUGAGCGGCGGACGGGUUAGUAACGCGUGGGAACGUGCCCUUCUCUACGGAAUAGCCUCUGGAAACGGAGAGUAAUACCGUAUACGCCCUUUGGGGGAAAGAUUUAUCGGAGAAGGAUCGGCCCGCGUUAGAUUAGGUAGUUGGUGGGGUAACGGCCUACCAAGCCUACGAUCUAUAGCUGGUUUUAGAGGAUGAUCAGCAACACUGGGACUGAGACACGGCCCAGACUCCUACGGGAGGCAGCAGUGGGGAAUCUUAGACAAUGGGGGCAACCCUGAUCUAGCCAUGCCGCGUGAGUGAUGAAGGCCUUAGGGUCGUAAAGCUCUUUCGCCUGUGAUGAUAAUGACAGUAGCAGGUAAAGAAACCCCGGCUAACUCCGUGCCAGCAGCCGCGGUAAUACGGAGGGGGUUAGCGUUGUUCGGAAUUACUGGGCGUAAAGCGCGCGUAGGCGGAUUAGAAAGUUGGGGGUGAAAUCCCGGGGCUCAACCUCGGAACUGCCUCCAAAACUGCUAGUCUAGAGUUCGAGAGAGGUGAGUGGAAUUCCGAGUGUAGAGGUGAAAUUCGUAGAUAUUCGGAGGAACACCAGUGGCGAAGGCGGCUCACUGGCUCGAUACUGACGCUGAGGUGCGAAAGUGUGGGGAGCAAACAGGAUUAGAUACCCUGGUAGUCCACACCGUAAACGAUGAAUGCCAGUCGUCGGGUAGUAUACUAUUCGGUGACACACCUAACGGAUUAAGCAUUCCGCCUGGGGAGUACGGUCGCAAGAUUAAAACUCAAAGGAAUUGACGG
RNAcentral lists this ribosomal RNA (859 nucleotides) under uncultured marine bacterium. RNAcentral's name for it is "bacterial SSU rRNA". It matches the Rfam family "Bacterial small subunit ribosomal RNA", at positions 8 to 916 of the family's 1533-position model. The record is from RNAcentral.